RNAcentral lists this ribosomal RNA (403 nucleotides) under uncultured bacterium. RNAcentral describes it as "bacterial SSU rRNA". It matches the Rfam family "Bacterial small subunit ribosomal RNA", at positions 355 to 775 of the family's 1533-position model. The record is from RNAcentral.
UUGGGAAUCUUGGACAAUGGGGGAAACCCUGAUCCAGCCAUGCCGCGUGAGUGAUGAAGGCCUUCGGGUUGUAAAACUCUUUCGCGCACGACGAUAAUGACGGUAGUGCGAGAAGAAGCUCCGGCUAACUUCGUGCCAGCAGCCGCGGUAAUACGAAGGGGGCUAGCGUUGUUCGGAAUUACUGGGCGUAAAGCGCGCGCAGGCGGUCUUCCAAGUCAGUGGUGAAAGCCCGGAGCUCAACUCCGGAACUGCCAUUGAAACUGUUGGACUUGAGUAUGAGAGAGGUGAGUGGAAUUCCCAGUGUAGAGGUGAAAUUCGUAGAUAUUGGGAAGAACACCGGUGGCGAAGGCGGCUCACUGGCUCAUUACUGACGCUCAGGCGCGACAGCGUGGGGAUCAAACAG